UGGGGAAUAUUGCGCAAUGGGCGAAAGCCUGACGCAGCGACGCCGCGUGAGGGAUGAAGGUUUUCGGAUCGUAAACCUCUGUCAGAAGGGAAGAAACCGCACUGUGCUAAUCAGCAGUGCCUUGACGGUACCUUCAAAGGAAGCACCGGCUAACUCCGUGCCAGCAGCCGCGGUAAUACGGAGGGUGCAAGCGUUAAUCGGAAUUACUGGGCGUAAAGCGCACGUAGGCUGCUUUGUAAGUCAGGGGUGAAAUCCCACGGCUCAACCGUGGAACUGCCUUUGAUACUGCUUAGCUUGAAUCCGGGAGAGGGUGGCGGAAUUCCAGGUGUAGGAGUGAGAUCCGUAGAUAUCUGGAGGAACAUCAGUGGCGAAGGCGGCCACCUGGACCGGUAUUGACGCUGAGGUGCGAAAGCGUGGGGAGCAAACAGG
Molecule: ribosomal RNA, 429 nt
Filed under: Fusobacteriota bacterium
Lineage: Bacteria; Fusobacteriati; Fusobacteriota
Description: Fusobacteria bacterium partial 16S ribosomal RNA
Rfam family: Bacterial small subunit ribosomal RNA
Source: RNAcentral